RNAcentral lists this ribosomal RNA (1388 nucleotides) under Streptomyces pratensis. RNAcentral's name for it is "bacterial SSU rRNA". It matches the Rfam family "Bacterial small subunit ribosomal RNA". The record is from RNAcentral. Lineage: Bacteria; Bacillati; Actinomycetota; Actinomycetes; Kitasatosporales; Streptomycetaceae.
GUCGAACGAUGAAGCCGCUUCGGUGGUGGAUUAGUGGCGAACGGGUGAGUAACACGUGGGCAAUCUGCCCUUCACUCUGGGACAAGCCCUGGAAACGGGGUCUAAUACCGGAUAACACUCUGUCCCGCAUGGGACGGGGUUAAAAGCUCCGGCGGUGAAGGAUGAGCCCGCGGCCUAUCAGCUUGUUGGUGGGGUAAUGGCCUACCAAGGCGACGACGGGUAGCCGGCCUGAGAGGGCGACCGGCCACACUGGGACUGAGACACGGCCCAGACUCCUACGGGAGGCAGCAGUGGGGAAUAUUGCACAAUGGGCGAAAGCCUGAUGCAGCGACGCCGCGUGAGGGAUGACGGCCUUCGGGUUGUAAACCUCUUUCAGCAGGGAAGAAGCGAAAGUGACGGUACCUGCAGAAGAAGCGCCGGCUAACUACGUGCCAGCAGCCGCGGUAAUACGUAGGGCGCAAGCGUUGUCCGGAAUUAUUGGGCGUAAAGAGCUCGUAGGCGGCUUGUCACGUCGGAUGUGAAAGCCCGGGGCUUAACCCCGGGUCUGCAUUCGAUACGGGCUAGCUAGAGUGUGGUAGGGGAGAUCGGAAUUCCUGGUGUAGCGGUGAAAUGCGCAGAUAUCAGGAGGAACACCGGUGGCGAAGGCGGAUCUCUGGGCCAUUACUGACGCUGAGGAGCGAAAGCGUGGGGAGCGAACAGGAUUAGAUACCCUGGUAGUCCACGCCGUAAACGUUGGGAACUAGGUGUUGGCGACAUUCCACGUCGUCGGUGCCGCAGCUAACGCAUUAAGUUCCCCGCCUGGGGAGUACGGCCGCAAGGCUAAAACUCAAAGGAAUUGACGGGGGCCCGCACAAGCAGCGGAGCAUGUGGCUUAAUUCGACGCAACGCGAAGAACCUUACCAAGGCUUGACAUAUACCGGAAAGCAUCAGAGAUGGUGCCCCCCUUGUGGUCGGUAUACAGGUGGUGCAUGGCUGUCGUCAGCUCCUGUCGUGAGAUGUUGGGUUAAGUCCCGCAACGAGCGCAACCCUUGUUCUGUGUUGCCAGCAUGCCCUUCGGGGUGAUGGGGACUCACAGGAGACUGCCGGGGUCAACUCGGAGGAAGGUGGGGACGACGUCAAGUCAUCAUGCCCCUUAUGUCUUGGGCUGCACACGUGCUACAAUGGCCGGUACAAUGAGCUGCGAUGCCGCGAGGCGGAGCGAAUCUCAAAAAGCCGGUCUCAGUUCGGAUUGGGGUCUGCAACUCGACCCCAUGAAGUCGGAGUUGCUAGUAAUCGCAGAUCAGCAUUGCUGCGGUGAAUACGUUCCCGGGCCUUGUACACACCGCCCGUCACGUCACGAAAGUCGGUAACACCCGAAGCCGGUGGCCCAACCCCUUGUGGGAGGGAGC